This 432-nucleotide ribosomal RNA is filed under the name uncultured bacterium. RNAcentral describes it as "partial 16S ribosomal RNA". It matches the Rfam family "Bacterial small subunit ribosomal RNA", at positions 29 to 507 of the family's 1533-position model. The record is from RNAcentral.
ACGAACGCUGGCGGCAUGCCUAACACAUGCAAGUCGAACGAGAUCUUCGGGUCUAGUGGCGCACGGGUGCGUAACGCGUGGGAACCUGCCCUUAGGUUCGGAAUAACUCCCCGAAAGGGGUGCUAAUACCGGAUAAUGUCUUCGGACCAAAGAUUUAUCGCCUUUGGAUGGGCCCGCGUUGGAUUAGCUAGUUGGUAGGGUAAAAGCCUACCAAGGCGACGAUCCAUAGCUGGUCUGAGAGGAUGAUCAGCCACACUGGGACUGAGACACGGCCCAGACUCCUACGGGAGGCAGCAGUGGGGAAUAUUGGACAAUGGGCGAAAGCCUGAUCCAGCAAUGCCGCGUGAGUGAUGAAGGCCUUAGGGUUGUAAAGCUCUUUUACCCGGGAUGAUAAUGACAGUACCGGGAGAAUAAGCUCCGGCUAACUCCGUG